GUGCCAGCAGCCGCGGUAAUACGUAGGGUGCGAGCGUUGUCCGGAAUUAUUGGGCGUAAAGAGCUCGUAGGCGGUGUGUCGCGUCGGCCGUGAAAACCUGGGGCUUAACUCUGGGCGUGCGGUCGAUACGGGCAUCAUUUGAGUUCGGCAGGGGAGACUGGAAUUCCUGGUGUAGCGGUGAAAUGCGCAGAUAUCAGGAGGAACACCGGUGGCGAAGGCGGGUCUCUGGGCCGAUACUGACGCUGAGGAGCGAAAGCAUGGGUAGCGAACAGGAUUAGAUACCCUGGUAGUCCAUGCCGUAAACGUUGGGCGCUAGGUGUGGGGUCCAUUCCACGGGUUCCGUGCCGCAGCUAACGCAUUAAGCGCCCCGCCUGGGGAGUACGGCCGCAAGGCUAAAACUCAAAGGAAUUGGCGGGGGCCCGCACAAGCGGCGGAGCAUGUGGAUUAAUUCGAUGCAACGCGAAGAACCUUACCUGGGUUUGACAUGCACUAGACGCGGCCAGAGAUGGUCGUUCCCUUGUGGCUGGUGUGCAGGUGGUGCAUGGCUGUCGUCAGCUCGUGUCGUGAGAUGUUGGGUUAAGUCCCGCAACGAGCGCAACCC
RNAcentral lists this ribosomal RNA (601 nucleotides) under uncultured Actinomycetospora sp. Its description in RNAcentral is "bacterial SSU rRNA". It matches the Rfam family "Bacterial small subunit ribosomal RNA", at positions 505 to 1104 of the family's 1533-position model. Lineage: Bacteria; Bacillati; Actinomycetota; Actinomycetes; Pseudonocardiales; Pseudonocardiaceae. The record is from RNAcentral.